RNAcentral lists this ribosomal RNA (393 nucleotides) under uncultured bacterium. RNAcentral's name for it is "partial 16S ribosomal RNA". It matches the Rfam family "Bacterial small subunit ribosomal RNA", at positions 523 to 918 of the family's 1533-position model. The record is from RNAcentral.
AUACGGAGGAUGCAAGCGUUAUCCGGAUUUAUUGGGUUUAAAGGGUGCGUAGGCGGUUUGCUAAGCGGGAGGUGAAAUGCCGGCGCUCAACGUCGGAAGUGCCUCCCGAACUGGUGGACUUGAAUGACUCUGCCGUGGGAGGAAUGUGUAGUGUAGCGGUGAAAUGCUUAGAGAUUACACAGAACACCGAUUGCGAAGGCAUCUCACGAAGGGUUGAUUGACGCUGAGGCACGAAAGCGUGAGGAACAAACAGGAUUAGAUACCCUGGUAGUCCAUGCAGUAAACGAUGAUGGCUAACCGCUGGGCUUAUCAGUUCAGUGGCCAAGCGAAAGCGAUAAGCCAUCCACCUGGGGAGUACGACCGCAAGGUUGAAACUCAAAGGAAUUGACGGGG